UCCCUUCUUAAGCUGCCCUCCCUGCCACCGGAAGUGACUCCCCUCAGCAAGGCCAAGGUGGCUCACGUGUCCCAGCACCCUUUCAUCUCUGCCCUUCUCUCUCGAGUGACAGCAUGACGUGACAUGAGGGCUCUCCAGCCAUGGCCUUGCAGCCCUCUUGGGGUCUUGCUGUCACCCAGGCUGGAGUGCGGUGGUAAGAUCAGGACUCACUGCAGCCUUGAACUCCGGGACUCAAGGGAUCCUUCUGCCUCAGCCUCCUGAGUAGCUGGGGCCACAAGCGCAUGCCACUGUGGCUGGUUAAUCUUUCCAUUUUCUGUAGAGACUGGUCUCACUAUGUGCCCAGGCUGGUCUCCAACUAGUGGCCUCAAGUGAUUCCUCACCUGGACCUUCCAAAGUGCUGGGAUUACAGUUGUGGGCCACCAUGCACCGGGCCUGUUCUGUUUUCUUGAAGCACUUGCC
Molecule: long non-coding RNA, 459 nt
Filed under: Pan troglodytes (chimpanzee)
Lineage: Eukaryota; Metazoa; Chordata; Mammalia; Primates; Hominidae
Description: long non-coding RNA NONPTRT004142
Source: RNAcentral